UGCGGCGGCGGUCACCUUCG
This 20-nucleotide unclassified non-coding RNA is filed under the name Chlamydomonas reinhardtii. Its description in RNAcentral is "small RNA Cre_3122". The record is from RNAcentral. Lineage: Eukaryota; Viridiplantae; Chlorophyta; Chlorophyceae; Chlamydomonadales; Chlamydomonadaceae.